Molecule: long non-coding RNA, 340 nt
Organism: Cyprinus carpio carpio
Lineage: Eukaryota; Metazoa; Chordata; Actinopteri; Cypriniformes; Cyprinidae
Source: Ensembl
GAGCGCAGUCUGGUUACAUCACUCAAAAACACUAUUCUCGCUCUCCCUUCGCUAUGUUCGUCAUGUUUUCUGGGUCCAAACCAGCCAAAGACUGGGUGGAAUGAAAAUAUCCAGAAGGCUUUAGAAAAGAAAGGAGAAGCAUGGUUCGGGCCAUUUUACAGCCUCACAUCACCCCAACUGACCCCUUGAUGACCACUUGACAAAAUGGAGGGGAGGGUGAGGACAAAAGAGAGCUGACCAAGGAGGAUGAGCGUUGAGAUGAAAGGAGGAGGGAGAGGUAACAGAGAGGAGAGGUAACGGCAGACGUGAAAAAAAAGAAGAAAAAAAAUUGCACAAAGAC